GACAGAGGCCUCGAGCGUUAGGCGGAAUCACUGGGCUUAAAGCGUGUGUAGGCGGGCCCGUAAGUGUCUUGUGAAAUCCCACGGCUCAACCGUGGAACUGCUGGGCAUACUGCGGGUCUUGGGCCAACUAGGGGCAGCCGGAACAAGCGGUGGAGCGGUGAAAUGCGUAGAUAUCGUUUGGAACGCCAAUGGUGAAAACAGGUUGCUGGGAGUGUGCUGACGCUGAGACACGAAAGCCAGGGGAGCAAACGGG
This 253-nucleotide ribosomal RNA is filed under the name uncultured bacterium. RNAcentral's name for it is "partial 16S ribosomal RNA". It matches the Rfam family "Bacterial small subunit ribosomal RNA", at positions 524 to 776 of the family's 1533-position model. The record is from RNAcentral.